GCACCCGUAGCUCAGCUGGAUAGAGCGUCAGCCUCCGGAGCUGAAGGUCAGAGGUUCAAACCCUCUCGGGUGCA
Molecule: transfer RNA, 74 nt
Filed under: Candidatus Komeilibacteria bacterium
Lineage: Bacteria; Candidatus Komeiliibacteriota
Description: tRNA-Arg
Rfam family: tRNA
About the family: Transfer RNA (tRNA) molecules are approximately 80 nucleotides in length. Their secondary structure includes four short double-helical elements and three loops (D, anti-codon, and T loops).
Source: RNAcentral